This 467-nucleotide ribosomal RNA is filed under the name uncultured delta proteobacterium. RNAcentral describes it as "bacterial SSU rRNA". It matches the Rfam family "Bacterial small subunit ribosomal RNA", at positions 338 to 796 of the family's 1533-position model. Lineage: Bacteria; Deltaproteobacteria. The record is from RNAcentral.
CGUACGGGAUGCAGCAAUGGGGAAUUCUGCGCAAUGGGCGCAAGCCUGAAGCAGCAACACCGCGUGAGGGAAGAAGGUAUUCGGAUCGUAAACCUCUGUAAGGCGGGAAGAACGGCAAGGUGUUGAACCGGGUAAGUGAUUGACGGUACCUCGAAAGGAAGCACCGGCUAACUCCGUGCCAGCAGCCGCGGUAAUACGGAGGGUGCGAGCGUUAUUCGGAAUUACUGGGCGUAAAGGGCGUGUAGGCGGCUAUGUAAGUCAGAUGUGAAAGCCCACGGCUUAACCUUGGAACUGCAUUCGAAACUGCUUGGCUAGAGUACGGGAGAGGGGGGCGGAAUUUCCGGUGUAGGAGUGAAAUCCGUAGAUAUCGGGAGGAACACCAGUGGCGAAGGCGGCCAUCUGGUCCGUAACUGACGCUGAGACGCGAAAGCGUGGGGAGCAAACAGGAUUAGAUACCCCAGUAGUCC